This 460-nucleotide ribosomal RNA is filed under the name uncultured bacterium. RNAcentral's name for it is "partial 16S ribosomal RNA". It matches the Rfam family "Bacterial small subunit ribosomal RNA", at positions 338 to 795 of the family's 1533-position model. The record is from RNAcentral.
CCUACGGGAGGCAGCAGUGAGGAAUAUUGGUCAAUGGGCGGAAGCCUGAACCAGCCAAGUAGCGUGCAGGAUGACGGCCCUACGGGUUGUAAACUGCUUUUAUACGGGAAUAACGCGCCUUACGUGUAGGGCUUUGCAUGUACCGUAUGAAUAAGGACCGGCUAAUUCCGUGCCAGCAGCCGCGGUAAUACGGAGGGUCCGGGCGUUAUCCGGAUUUAUUGGGUUUAAAGGGAGCGUAGGCCGGAUGUCAAGCGUGCUGUGAAAUGUUCGGGCUCAACCCGGGCCUUGCAGCUGGAACUGGAGUGCUUGAGUGUGCGGAAAGCAGGCGGAAUGCGUGGUGUAGCGGUGAAAUGCUUAGAUAUGACGAAGAACCCCGAUUGCGAAGGCAGCUUGCUGCAGCGGAACUGACGCUGAUGCACGAAAGCGUGGGUAUCGAACAGGAUUAGAUACCCGUGUAGUC